RNAcentral lists this ribosomal RNA (468 nucleotides) under uncultured bacterium. Its description in RNAcentral is "partial 16S ribosomal RNA". It matches the Rfam family "Bacterial small subunit ribosomal RNA", at positions 28 to 507 of the family's 1533-position model. The record is from RNAcentral.
GACGAACGCUGGCGGCGUGCUUAACACAUGCAAGUCGAACGGAAAGUUCCUGCUUUUGUGCGCUGCUCGAUUGGCGAACGGGGGAGUAACACUUGAGUAACCUGCCCCUCACUGUGGGAUAUCUUCAUGACACAUGGGCUAAUACCGGAUAGGAUCUCCUGCUGCAUGAUGGGGGUUGGAUAGUUUCGGCGGUUGGGGAUGUAUUCGCCGCUUAUCAGCUUGUUGGUGGGGUAGUGGCUUACCAAGGCUUUGACGGGUAGCCGGCCUGCGAGGGUGAACGGCCACAUUGGGACUGCGAUACGGCGCAGAAUCCUACGGGAGGCAGCAGUGGGGAAUCUUGCAGAAUGGGCGGAAGCCUGAUGCAGCAACGCCGCGUGCGGGAUACCGGCUUUCGGGUUGUAAACCGAUUUCGCAUGUGACGAAGCGUGAGUGACGGUAAUGGGUAAAGAAGCCACGGCUAACUACGUG